GGUAGCGUGGCCGAGUGGUCUAAGGCUCUAGUUUUAGGCACCAGUUUUCGAGGCGUGGGUUCGAAUCCCACUGCUGCCA
Molecule: transfer RNA, 79 nt
Filed under: Nephila pilipes (giant wood spider)
Lineage: Eukaryota; Metazoa; Arthropoda; Arachnida; Araneae; Nephilidae
Rfam family: tRNA
About the family: Transfer RNA (tRNA) molecules are approximately 80 nucleotides in length. Their secondary structure includes four short double-helical elements and three loops (D, anti-codon, and T loops).
Source: Rfam by way of RNAcentral